Long non-coding RNA from Triticum dicoccoides, 2404 nucleotides. RefSeq lists it as uncharacterized. NCBI's taxonomy places the organism in Eukaryota, Viridiplantae, Streptophyta, Magnoliopsida, Poales, Poaceae. The transcript is spliced from 4 exons. The record is from RefSeq and is a predicted model, not a curated record.
GGGGGCUGGGGCUGGAGCGAGGAGCCCAUUGGGCACGACCGCACCAACCCUAGCUCCCGAUCCAAAGCCACGCACUCCUCCCUCCCCCUCUCACAGCCGCCACACCCCAUUCCUCUCUUCCUCCUCCCUCCUCCUUCCCAGAUCCCUGCCACCGCCACACCGAGUCGGCCGAUGGUGAGGUGAAGGAGGAGGGUAGGCGACCCGUCGCGAUGGGAUGAGGCUACAGGGAAGAGGGUCAUGUCGCGUGGUGGCCCAGAUGCGGCCGCCCCAUGGCCGGCCUCGACGAGCACGGCCUCGAUCCGGCCUCAGCCGGAGGACCUCGAGCCGAGGAGUGCGGCCUCGAUCGGGACUCGGCAUCUGGGGCGACGACGGAGGAGGAGGGGAAAGCAGGGGAGCAGCAGCCAGCAUCUGGGGCGGCGGCGGCUGGACUCUUCUCCUGUCUCGCCUCGGCCGCCUCCUCUCCUCCCCGCGUCGUCGGCCCCUCCCUCCUCCUCCCUCCUUCGUCCUCACAGCCGACCAUCUCCGUCACUUGGGCCCCAUGGCAACGACAGGGUCUUCCGGUCGGAAUUUAGACGAGGAAAAGGUGAAAUCGAGCGUCUCGAUGGUGCCAUGACUGAUACACGGCGACGGCUAGCGUCUAUGAGCGCCACACAUGGUGCAGCAGGCUCGGCGGGCAGUGGGCGCGGCAGGCUCGGCAGGCAGCGGACGCAGCGGUCAAGGCCAGGGGCGCGGAUUGGGGGAGAUGCGCACACGAGGAGCGACGGCGACCGCUUCUGCUGCCAACACCGAAGCCAUACUGCCAGUACAUUCCAAGUGGAAUGGAGUACCCAGUUUUGUCCAGAAAGUUGUGGCCUUCCGGUGGUUCUUUUGCAAUGAGGGUUUCAAUGCUAACCAUAUUGCAUUUCCAUUUUCAGGGUGUCCUUUUACUGGGUACCCACCCUCCAGUGCAUAUAUUUGCAUGAUGAUGUAAUGUCAGACCAACUUUCUGGUUUAAGUCCAUUGUUUGGCGCCAACGUGCAUUUGGUGUUGAUUGCUGGCUGGCCGACUGCGGUGUGCUACCGGCGAUGAGAUCCAGGAGGAGGUGGCGGCGAACAGGGAGUCGACGUAGGGAUGAACUUCCGAUUAAGAUGCAGAGCUGCUAUUUUUAUCAUGUUGUUCUUAUCCUGCUCACUGUGAUAUUUGUGGAAAAUAUUUGCACUGUGGUUUGGUUAAGAUAUAGAGCUACUAUUUUUGUUCUGCAUUACCUCGUGGGUCUUAUUAUAUGGAUUAAGUACAAGGCAUCUGUGGUUCAAAAGUUUUUAGUAACUUUUGUUUAUCUUUACUGUCUGGUGUCGAAUUGACCGAUUAGUCGGUUGAGUUGAUUGUAAAUGAUUGCCCAAUGUGGUUAUCUGAAGAUUGUAGUUUACCAUAUAUGCUUACUACAAAAUGCUUAUUUCGCUUCACAUGUAAGGCUGUAACAGGAUGCAUUUCUCUCACCAGGACCUUUUUGCUUGCAUUCUCGUGUCUUUUGGCAAGGAGAAAAUUAUCAUUUGGAGGGGAAAAGACAGAUGAAAACAUGCAAGAUAGUAUAUGCAAUUGACAUACCCUUCAGUUCUUGAAUCAGAGUUCAGUGGUGAAGAACACUACAAUUUUUUGGUUGAUAGAUUGGUCUGAAUAUAUUGUAAGGGAUUUUGCAUGAAGUGGUUAUUCAAAGAAUGGACCCGAUUUUAUGAUUUUACUAAAUGGAUAUGGUAUAACCUCCAUGAUAUUUGAGUGGUCCAGAAUCAAGACGCCCCGAGAAUUUUACCCUUCGAUGAACAAUGCAAGAUUUUGCCUAUUCUCUGAGAUGGAUGAUGAUGAGCGGUGCAACCGAAAAUUCAGAGCUGGGCUUUACACACUUCAGUGAUUAAGUGAAGUUCCAGUUUUUCUUCUGUACCCUAUUACUGCUCUCUUGUACAGAGAGCAGUGAGUUUAUAUUAGCUAAAUGUUAGAUUGGAAUGCAGGAGUAGCAUGACAACACCAAGGUAGAGACCUGAAGAGAAGCAAGGGGAUGGACCAAGGAAACUAGAACUAUGUUGUCGUGAUGUGGGUCGUGUCGUCUUCGUCCAUCUCCAUGGAGGCAUAUAUACAUAGGUUAGGUAUAGGAAAGGAGACCGUCUCCAUGGAACUCUGACUGAUGUGUAAUGUCCUCAUAGGACUGGACCGUUUACAGAGGGAGUACUUGAAAAUAGAUUCUUUAUAUAUUGUUUGGUUCCAUCAGCCACAUAACCUAAAUUAGCAAUUAGGUAUCUAAACAGUGUAGUGUAACCAUUGUGCUUGCUGCAGUUUUACUUUAGUGUUGAAAUGUUUUUGUUGGCUUGUUCUGUACUACGAAAUAUUUUUGUUUUCCCAGCCAUUGUUUUCUAAAUCCUAUCAACAUAUUACC